Molecule: long non-coding RNA, 1354 nt
Filed under: Crocodylus porosus (Australian saltwater crocodile)
Lineage: Eukaryota; Metazoa; Chordata; Crocodylia; Crocodylidae
Description: lncRNA (ENSCPRG00005017775.1)
Source: RNAcentral
UGCACAUACUCUCUUUGAGGUUCAAAAUCCCCAGUAUGACUCUUUGUAAUGUACUUUCCAUACAAUUUUGAUUUAAACAGAGAAUAGGGUUGUGGCCAAAAGAGUUUCUCAUCUUUGUGCACAGAUGCCUACACACAAACACACACAUGCAAGGUAAAAACUCUGAGUCAUAUGCAAAGGCUCAAUCGUAAUGUUGGAAACAGGAGCAGACAAAUGGAAAGUACAAUGUAAAGCACAUUUGUCACUGCAAGGUACAAACAUGUACUCUUUAUAAUCCUUAUUUAUGUUUAUUCCAAAACAUUCCAAAAUCCUAAAGCAUUAGUAAAGGGUUCCAGCUUGAGCUUGCUCUUCUGAGUCCAGUGGAACAAAGUGAUCAUACCAUACUGAGCCUGCAUGUCUUGCUAUUACUCUACACAGCUAUUCUAGUGAAGAUACGGCCACAGAAUUGUUCUAGGGCUCCAUUCUGUGUUCACUGAAAUCAUUGGUGAAAGCUGUAUAUGGCUUCAGUGGUUCAGGAUCUGGGCCCGAGCGGGUAGAAUAUCCAAAUGAGUUCAGGGGUGUGGAGAAGACUAAAGGAACUGUGCCCAACUGCAUCUUCCAAAAUGUAUGAUCAGUUUAUAGAACUCUGUAGGGCACAAAAGCUGAGGAUCACUACAAGUCUUGGGCCAUCCCAGUGCACAUGCUUGGGGAGAAAUAGAUCCAGCAAAUCUGGCGAACUGCAGAAUGAGAAGAGAAACAAAAGGAUUCAGCUGCAGUGGGACUACCCAGAAUGGAACAGCUGAUCAUGAAUGCAGUAUCACAGCCAUUUCAUCCCAGAAGGAGUUUAAGCCACAGGGAGCAUGUAUGCCAGUAAUAUGAGACUUCGAGACUUUGCUGACAUUCAACAAUCAAUACCAUUCAGUAGCCAUCUCCAGUACUUCCUGGUUCUCCUUAUAGAGACUGAGCUUGAUGAAAUUAUGUUUUGUUACUGGCACCUUUCCCAGCAUUGCAUCUUUGUACCUAUAGCCAACAAGCUUCCUCUCCCCAUAAAGGAAGCAUGUAAAAACUUCCUUGGGCUGUCUGUUACGCUAUAUCUAUUAACACCUACAUGCUAUGUGGAAAUCUCUAUCACCAAUAGAGAAAUCUAGAGUAGUCCACAAAGACUCUAUGUGGGAUGUGGCAACUGUGAUUCCAAGAGACUGACCAAUAUUUGAACCUGUUUGGUUUUGUUUCCAGAUUAGGCUGCUUCUGGGUAUGCAGCCAUUUCCUUGUGCCAGCCCAGAUCAUUCAAAAUUGUUUGAUUGCAUGAGAUUUGUCAUUAAAAACAAAAGGAAGGAGCAAUAAAACAUUGUAUGGAACUGUAAAUAACCUGAGA